GUGCCAGCCGCUGCGGUAAUACGGAGGGUGCAAGCGUUAAUCGGAAUUACUGGGCGUAAAGCGCACGCAGGCGGUCUGACAAGUCGGAUGUGAAAUCCCCGGGCUUAACCCGGGAACUGCAUUCGAAACUGUCAGGCUGGAGUCUUGUAGAGGGGGUAGAAUUCCAGGUGUAGCGGUGAAAUGCGUAGAGAUCUGGAGGAAUACCGGUGGCGAAGGCGGCCCCCUGGACAAAGACUGACGCUCAGGUGCGAAAGCGUGGGAGCAAACAGGAUUAGAUAACCCUGGUAGUCCACGCUAGUAAACGAUGUCGACUUGGAGUUGU
RNAcentral lists this ribosomal RNA (322 nucleotides) under uncultured Erwinia sp. RNAcentral describes it as "bacterial SSU rRNA". It matches the Rfam family "Bacterial small subunit ribosomal RNA", at positions 505 to 826 of the family's 1533-position model. Lineage: Bacteria; Pseudomonadati; Pseudomonadota; Gammaproteobacteria; Enterobacterales; Erwiniaceae. The record is from RNAcentral.